Molecule: ribosomal RNA, 440 nt
Filed under: uncultured bacterium
Lineage: Bacteria
Description: partial 16S ribosomal RNA
Rfam family: Bacterial small subunit ribosomal RNA
Source: RNAcentral
CCUACGGGUGGCAGCAGUGGGGAAUAUUGCACAAUGGGGGAAACCCUGAUGUAGCAACGCCGCGUGAGUGAAGAAGUAUUUCGGUAUGUAAAGCUCUAUCAGCAGGGAAGAGAAUGACGGUACCUGACUAAGAAGCCCCGGCUAACUACGUGCCAGCAGCCGCGGUAAUACGUAGGGGGCAAGCGUUAUCCGGAUUUACUGGGUGUAAAGAGUUCGUAGGCGGCAUGUAAAGUCAGGUGUUAAAGGGGCAGGCUCAACCUGUGUAUGGCACUUGAUACUUGCAAGCGGGAAUGCGGUAGAGGUAAAGGGAAGUCCUGGUGUAGCGGUGAAAUGCUUAGAUAUCAGGAGGAACAUCGUGGGCGUAAGCGCUUUACUGGGCCGUAAUUGACGCUGAGGAACGAAAGCCAGGGUAGCAAAUGGGAUUAGAUACCCUAGUAGUC